Molecule: long non-coding RNA, 490 nt
Filed under: Gopherus evgoodei (Goodes thornscrub tortoise)
Lineage: Eukaryota; Metazoa; Chordata; Testudines; Testudinidae
Description: lncRNA (ENSGEVG00005018516.1)
Source: RNAcentral
AAAUGCAACGUGAUGAACCGGCGGCUGGAGGAGGAGGAAGAGGAGGUGACAAGGAGAUCCAGGAGCUCAAGCAGAAGAUUCGCAUCCGGCGCCAGCAAAUCCGCACCAAACACGUGCUCCCUGCCUACCGGGAGGUGGGCUCCGAGAGCUUUGUGGCUACAGACAGUGAGUCCCAGUUCAGCUCCCGUGACUCCAUGUGGCUGUCUGACUCGGGCUCAGCGGAGGACGUGGAGGAGUAUGAGAUAAGAGGGCGCCAGCAGGCCCUGCUCUCUUGCCUCUGUGUUGAGACCCUUUCUCUGUUGCCGGGCCGAGCACUGAAGCGAAAUAUUUUGUCAUCACCGGAUUAUGCAGAUGGUACGAUGGAUCUAACCUGAUUCAAAUGGCCAAGAACGGCCUGUCAGUGUCAAUGGCUUCCUUGUUUUCAGGUAGUACCCCAGAGUGCACUGCGCCACGUGUGUGUGUGGUGUGUGUGUGUGUGAGCGCGCGCUUC